Molecule: ribosomal RNA, 806 nt
Filed under: Angustibacter peucedani
Lineage: Bacteria; Bacillati; Actinomycetota; Actinomycetes; Kineosporiales; Kineosporiaceae
Description: bacterial SSU rRNA
Rfam family: Bacterial small subunit ribosomal RNA
Source: RNAcentral
GUCGACGGUGACCUCGGAGCUUGCUCCGAGUGAUCAGUGGCGAACGGGUGAGUAACACGUGAGUAACCUGCCCCUGGCUCUGGGAUAACCCCGGGAAACCGAGGCUAAUACCGGAUACGACACAGACAGGCAUCUGUACUGUGUGGAAAGUUUUUCGGCCAGGGAUGGACUCGCGGCCUAUCAGCUUGUUGGUGGGGUAAUGGCCUACCAAGGCGACGACGGGUAGCCGGCCUGAGAGGGCGACCGGCCACACUGGGACUGAGACACGGCCCAGACUCCUACGGGAGGCAGCAGUGGGGAAUAUUGCGCAAUGGGCGAAAGCCUGACGCAGCGACGCCGCGUGAGGGAUGAAGGCCUUCGGGUUGUAAACCUCUUUCAGCAGGGAAGAAGCGCAAGUGACGGUACCUGCAGAAGAAGCACCGGCUAACUACGUGCCAGCAGCCGCGGUAAUACGUAGGGUGCAAGCGUUGUCCGGAAUUAUUGGGCGUAAAGAGCUCGUAGGCGGUCUGUCGCGUCUGGUGUGAAAAUCCAGGGCUUAACCCUGGACCUGCAUCGGGUACGGGCAGACUAGAGUGCGGUAGGGGAGAUCGGAAUUCCUGGUGUAGCGGUGAAAUGCGCAGAUAUCAGGAGGAACACCGGUGGCGAAGGCGGAUCUCUGGGCCGUAACUGACGCUGAGGAGCGAAAGCAUGGGGAGCGAACAGGAUUAGAUACCCUGGUAGUCCAUGCCGUAAACGUUGGGCGCUAGGUGUGGGGCUCAUUCCACGAGUUCCGUGCCGCAGCAAACGCAUUAAGCGCCCCGCCUGGG